This 1372-nucleotide ribosomal RNA is filed under the name uncultured bacterium. RNAcentral's name for it is "bacterial SSU rRNA". It matches the Rfam family "Bacterial small subunit ribosomal RNA". The record is from RNAcentral.
AGAGUUUGAUCCUGGCUCAGGAUGAACGCUGGCGGCGCGCCUAACACAUGCAAGUCGAACGGACGAUGCCCCUUCGGGGACAAAGUCAGUGGCGGACGGGUGAGUAACGCGUGAGUAACCUGCCCUUAUGAGUGGAAUAACGUCUGGAAACGGACGCUAAUACCGCAUAACGCAGCGAUACGGCAUCGUAUUGCUGCCAAAGAUUUAUCGCAUAAGGAUGGACUCGCGUCCCAUUAGAUAGUUGGCGGGGUAACGGCCCACCAAGUCAGCGAUGGGUAGCCGGACUGAGAGGUUGAACGGUCACAUUGGAACUGAGAGACGGUCCAGACUCCUACGGGAGGCAGCAGUGGGGAAUAUUGGGCAAUGGGCGAAAGCCUGACCCAGCGACGCCGCGUGAGCGAAGAAGGUCUUCGGAUUGUAAAGCUCUGUUGAUAGGGACGAUAAUGACGGUACCUAUCGAGGAAGCCACGGCUAACUACGUGCCAGCAGCCGCGGUAAUACGUAGGUGGCAAGCGUUAUCCGGAUUUACUGGGUGUAAAGGGUGUGUAGGCGGGAUUGCAAGUCAGAUGUGAAAAUCAUGGGCUCAACUCAUGACCUGCAUUUGAAACUGUGGUUCUUGAGAGUCGGAGGGGUAAUCGGAAUUCCCGGUGUAGCGGUGAAAUGCGUAGAUAUUAGGAGGAACACCAGUGGCGAAGGCGGCUUGCUGGACGACAACUGACGCUGAGGCGCGAAAGCGUGGGGAGCAAACAGGAUUAGAUACCCUGGUAGUCCACGCUGUAAACGAUGAAUACUAGGUGUGGGAGGACUGACCCCUUCCGUGCCGCAGUUAACACAAUAAGUAUUCCACCUGGGGAGUACGACCGCAAGGUUGAAACUCAAAGGAAUUGACGGGGGCCCGCACAAGCAGUGGAUUAUGUGGUUUAAUUCGACGCAACGCGAAGAACCUUACCAGGAUUUGACAUCCAACUAACGAAGUAGAGAUACAUUAGGUGCCCUUCGGGGAAAGUUGAGACAGGUGGUGCAUGGUUGUCGUCAGCUCGUGUCGUGAGAUGUUGGGUUAAGUCCCGCAACGAGCGCAACCCCUAUUGUUAGUUGCUACGCAAGAGCACUCUAGCGAGACUGCCGUUGACAAAACGGAGGAAGGCGGGGACGACGUCAAAUCAUCAUGCCCCUUAUGUCCUGGGCUACACACGUAAUACAAUGGUGGUUAACAGAGGGAAGCAAGACAGUGAUGUGGAGCAAAUCCCUAAAAGCCAUCUCAGUUCGGAUUGCAGGCUGCAACUCGCCUGCAUGAAGCUGGAAUUGCUAGUAAUCGCGGAUCAGCAUGCCGCGGUGAAUACGUUCCCGGGCCUUGCACACACCGCCCGUCAAG